AUAUCUUUUAAGCAUGUACAAUACAAAAAACAUUAAAUUUGAAUAUUCAAUAAUUCAGGGUUGACAAACUAUUCAAUUGUAAGACAAUAAUAAUCAAGAAGGGUAAAGUAGCAAAAAACUUGCAAAAACAAUAGAUAUUAGCAAAUGGAAAUCAAAUUAGAGUCCUUAGCAGCACUUUAUAUCACUAAAUAUUAACACAAAAAAAUGAGGAGUAUGUGUCAGUCGGUCAUACAAAAAACAAGAAAACAAAACAAAACAAAAUCAAACGGAAAAUAAAAACAGAAAACAUAACUUAAAAUAGAAGACAUGUAUCUAAUUGAGAGGCGGAUCAUAACAAAGAGAUAAUAAAGCGACCUAGGCAUUGAAAAAAAACACAACAAAAAAUGCAAACAAACAGUUUACAAAACAUAACAUUAAGUCCUGAUAUGACUGAUCAAGAAAAAAACCUCCGAAAACCGUGGCAUUCUUCCUGUUGAUUAUGUAAGUACAAAAUAAACUGUGGUAAGUCUUAUUCGGUGAAAUAAGAUUCGUUCAAGGAAUAGUGGUCGAUAUUGUAGACAC
RNAcentral lists this long non-coding RNA (561 nucleotides) under Mytilus galloprovincialis (Mediterranean mussel). Lineage: Eukaryota; Metazoa; Mollusca; Bivalvia; Mytilida; Mytilidae. The record is from RNAcentral.